CCCGGCUGAAUUUAAGCAUAUAAGUAAGCGGAGGAAAAGAAACUAAACAGGAUUCCCUUAGUAAUGGCGAAUGAACAGGGAAGAGCUCAGGAUGUAAAUUGGGGCCUCUGGCCUCGAAUUGUAGUCUUGCGACGCGUCACCAACGGAGGCGCAGAUGUAAGCCUCUUGGAAAAGAGUGCCAGUGAGGGUGAGAGCCCCGUUCAUCAUCUGCAGUCCCCCGUGUGCGGUGCGCGUUCUAAGAGUCACGUUCCUCGGGACUGGAGCGCAAAGUGGGUGGUAAAUUCCAUCUAAAGCUAAAUAUAGGCUCGAGACCGAUAGCAAACAAGUACCAUGAGGGAAAGGUGAAAAGGACUUUGAAAAGAGAGUUAAAAGUGCCUGAAAUUGCUGAAAGGGAAGCGAGUGGAGCCAGUCUUUUUAGGCGAGAUUGUCGUGCACUACAGUGAAGGUUCGGCGCGCCAGCGCAAGCGACGCGUCGUUCUCCGACCUUGCCGUGCGCGAUGCUUCUUGCCUUUAGCGUCUUCGUCGGUUCAGCGUCGAGGAUAACGCCAAGGGCAUGGUACCCCGCCUCUGGGUGGGCGAAAGCGCUUGGUUGAACUCAACGCGGGACCGAGCAGCGCGUGCAAGGUCUCUGCCGCCAGCUUGCUGGGGGCGCCCUUGCGCAAGCACGAGGACAACAUGGUUCCCCUCGACCCGUCUUGAAACACGGACCAAGGAGUCUAACGUAUGUGCGAGUACACGGGUGUUAAACCUGCGUGCGCAAUGAAAGUGACUGCUGGGAUUUUUGCGCCAGCAACCGACCAAUCAAUUGAGAGAGGUUUGAGUAUGAGCAUAUAUGUUAGGACCCGAAAGAUGGUGAACUAUGCGUGAGAAGGGCGAAGCCUGGGGAAACUCAGGUGGAGGCUCGUAGCGAUACUGACGUGCAAAUCGUUCGUCAUACUUGCGUAUAGGGGCGAAAGACUAAUCGAACCAUCUAGUAGCUGGUUCCCUCCGAAGUUUCCCUCAGGAUAGCUGGAGUUGAACAGUUUCGUCAGGUAAAGCGAAUGAUUAGAGGAAUCGGGGGCGCGUUGUCCUCGACCUAUUCUCAAACUUUAAAUGGGCAAGAUCUAGCGAUUUCUUAGUUGAAUCGCUGGGACAAAUGACAACUCUAAGUGGGCCAUUUUUGGUAAGCAGAACUGGCGAUGAGGGAUGAACCUAACGUUGGGUUAAGGUGCUUAACUGCUCGCUCAUCAGAUACCAUAAAGGGUGUUGGUUCAUUUUAACAGCAGGACGGUGGUCAUGGAAGUCGAAAUCCGCUAAGGAGUGUGUAACAACUCACCUGCCGAAUGGACUAGCCCCGAAAAUGGAUGGCGCUCAAGCGGGUGACCGAUACCCAACCGUUGACGCAAGUCUUCUUGCGUCAAUGAGUAGGAGGGCGUGGGGGUUGUGGUGAAGCUCUUGGCGUAAGCCUGGGUGAAACAGCUCCUAGUGCAGAUCUUGGUGGUAGUAGCAA
This 1489-nucleotide ribosomal RNA is filed under the name Bispinodinium angelaceum. Its description in RNAcentral is "LSU rRNA". It matches the Rfam family "Eukaryotic large subunit ribosomal RNA", at positions 24 to 1466 of the family's 3401-position model. The record is from RNAcentral. Lineage: Eukaryota; Dinophyceae.